UGCAAUUUCCCUUUUUACAUUAUUUUGAGGAUUUCUAACCGUUUCCCUCAGAAUCUGUGGAGCCAAUCAUUACCCAACUCUCCUUCUUUCUUUCCUUCUUUCUUUCUCUCUUCAUCGCCGCUCCCGAGAAAUCUUUGUUCGGAGCCACCAGAGGCGAAGGCGACUUCUUAAGAAACCGCACCGGAUCGAUCGACGUAGCACACCGUCGAAUCGGAUACCAAACAUGAACGAGAAGGCCUCCGUCUCUAAGGAGCUCGAAGCCAAACAUACUAAGAUUUUAGCAGGUCUUCUCAAGCUUCCAGAAAAUAGGGAAUGUGCAGACUGCCGGAGCAAGGCUCCACGAUGGGCAAGUGUAAACCUUGGAAUUUUUAUAUGCAUGCAAUGCUCGGGUAUUCAUCGGAGUCUUGGAGUACAUAUCUCAAAGGUGCGGUCUACUACUCUUGACACAUGGCUACCAGAACAGGUUGCUUUUAUGCAGUCUAUGGGAAAUGAGAGGUCUAAUUGUUACUGGGAAGCUGAACUACCACCAAAUUAUGAUAAGAGAGGGAGUUCUACGUUCAUUCGUGCCAAGUACGAAGAGAAAAGGUGGGUCUCUAAGAAUAGAAUACAGCCAACUCCACAAUUAGGUGGAAUGAGAAGUAUUUAUUGCGAUUCGGUUGAAAGUGGACCCAAAAGCUCUAUUACAAAGAAGAUGAGGAACUUUUCUCUUGAGGAAGAAAUUCUCACUCAGCACGUGACAACAACAAUCCCCACAGUAACAAAAGCACGCUGGAAUUCUUUAGAUAUGAAGAGCCAUAUUGCUGCUCCAAGAGGCCCUUCGUUAGCGAAAGAAGUCGAUACAUCCACAAAAAAUACAAAUGGAUCCCCAGACCUCUUCAACUUACUAUAUGUCCAAGAUAAAAACCAGGACUGCUCUAGCGUAAUUCCAGCUCGUUGGGCAACUUUCGAUUGAAAACGAAUUUUAUACAAUGCUUUGGUGGUAAAUUAUCCAUUUGAGGAGAGGUUAAAUUUUGGACGGAGCAUGCAGCAUAUCUUGUCGACAAGGACUUCAAAAGGCAUGGGCCCGYAUUCAAUCCCCAGGAGUGUAAAUUGCUUGAAAAUUCAUUCUCUUCUCCUCUCCAAUCAAAAGUACACUGCAAUUUCCUUACAUUAUUUACCUCGUCAUUCUUUCAUUCUGUAAUCCAAACGUGAAAUCAAGGAUGGGGUUUCUUUUCUGGUCAAA
This is a non-coding RNA of Momordica charantia (bitter melon), 1222 nucleotides long. The record is from RefSeq and is a predicted model, not a curated record. Lineage: Eukaryota; Viridiplantae; Streptophyta; Magnoliopsida; Cucurbitales; Cucurbitaceae.